AUUGAACGCUGGCGGAAUGCUUUACACAUGCAAGUCGAACGGCAGCACGGGGGCAGCCCUGGUGGCGAGUGGCGAACGGGUGAGUAAUACAUCGGAACGUGCCCGGUCGUGGGGGAUAACGUAGCGAAAGUUACGCUAAUACCGCAUACGAUCUGAGGAUGAAAGCGGGGGACCUUCGGGCCUCGCGCGAUCGGAGCGGCCGAUGUCAGAUUAGGGAGUUGGUGGGGUAAAGGCCUACCAAGCCGACGAUCUGUAGCUGGUCUGAGAGGACGACCAGCCACACUGGGACUGAGACACGGCCCAGACUCCUACGGGAGGCAGCAGUGGGGAAUUUUGGACAAUGGGCGCAAGCCUGAUCCAGCCAUUCCGCGUGCAGGACGAAGGCCUUCGGGUUGUAAACUGCUUUUGUACGGAACGAAAAGGCUCUGGCUAAUACCUGGGGCUCAUGACGGUACCGUAAGAAUAAGCACCGGCUAACUACGUG
RNAcentral lists this ribosomal RNA (484 nucleotides) under uncultured bacterium. RNAcentral's name for it is "partial 16S ribosomal RNA". It matches the Rfam family "Bacterial small subunit ribosomal RNA", at positions 29 to 507 of the family's 1533-position model. The record is from RNAcentral.